Molecule: RNA transcript, 4838 nt
Organism: Xenopus laevis (African clawed frog)
Lineage: Eukaryota; Metazoa; Chordata; Amphibia; Anura; Pipidae
Gene name: translation initiation factor IF-2-like
Exons: 2
Source: RefSeq, a predicted model, not a curated record
AACCCCAGGACAGUGCAUGCUGGCAAAGGGUGCAUGACAGGGGCGGGACAAAGCUGCCUGGCAGGGGAUUAGUAGGGGGUUAGUGACAUAGUUGGGGGGUGGAGUUAUAAGGGGAUGUAUAGCACUAACUGCUAAGGAGGGCAUCCAUUUUGGAAGGAGAAAAGGAGUAGUAAGGUAGCAAGGCAGAGAGUGUAGGAUUACCUGAGAUGGCAGCACUAAAGGAGCUCCUGGCGAGGAUCAGAGCUCAGGCAAGUGAGCAGGGGGAUGAUUGGGUCCGGCAGCAGCUUGCAGCGCAACCCGCGCCCACAGCCCGACAGGCAGCCAGCAGGAGGAGAACACGGCCCCCUGAAAGAUUGAGCCCAGCAGUGAGCAGCAGGUCGAGUCAGAGAAGACGGAUGAGGAGCCCCUCCCCCCCAGUCGCAGGUCCGGGAAGCAGUGUGGGAGCGUCGGCUGCUGACAGGAGAGGCACGGGUAAGAAGCAGCAAGGGGGGAGGAUGCCGUGCAGAGGCCAGGGAGCAGGACGGAGGAGCAGAGCAGGGAUGCGGCUGGGAGCAGGCAGUCAAGAUGGCGCCGAUCGCAGUCCGGUUGUAAGAGGCGGGGCCACAGCAGGGAGCAGUCCGGGUCGCAGCAGGAGGGAGUCGGCAGCCAGGAGGGGAAGCAGCAGCUCGAGAGGGGAGACAACACAGGCAGGGCAGAGGCAGACGGACCGCAGAAGCACUGACAGGGAGAGUGAGAGGAGACAGAGGGAGCCUGCAGCACAGCGUGGAGGACAUGGGGGAAGGGCAGCCACUUCAGGAACGGACCUUGCUGGGGAGCCAGGAGGGAGUUCGCGCGUGAGUAUGGCAGCACCCCCGGCUGGGGGCGACAGGGAUGGGGGGGGUUUUUCACGUUGUUUGUCUCCACAGGGUGCGGCGCAACGGAGCGGUGGACCCCAGCAGGGACGCGAGGGAUCUACUUCCAGGCACAGAGAAGAGGAUAGAGGCGCGGCCAGCUCGGUAACGGGCUGUGCUGGGGGGAGAGGGGGGCCCCCACCAGCGAAUAUGGGGGCGCCCUCUGUUGGGGGUUGCUGGGCCGGGGGGGUUUCCUCUCUCCUGUUGCCUCUACAGGGAUCAUCAGGACAAGACUGGAGCAGCGGUCUGGGUACAGCAGGAGAAGCGCCAGGCACAUCAGACGGGUCAUCAGGACACAGAGCAACAGCCACCACAGACAGCAUCAUGGAAGCACUCCGAACAGCACCGGCCUCCGGGCCCAGUGGUGAGAAUGACUUUGCUGGGUUUAUGAAGGGAAUGCAGGAGCUAUGGGCAAAAUGGGGGGGAGGGAACACACCAAACACCCCCCCCUCAGCACCGGCAGUGCAGGUCCCGACAGGGGCAAGGCCCAUAGGGGAACUACCCACAGUUGCAUCAGGGGGAAUGCCCCUGACGGCAGGGGGGAGCACCGGGGUGGUAGAGUCAGGUACACCGCCAGCCACGGGGGGGUCGGAGCGUAAGGAGGGAGAGGCCCCCAAAAAGGACGAGGCGGCUAAGCCACUACCGAUAUCAGACGCGGCAAAGGGCAACACAUAUGUGUGCUUUGAAGGCCCCCUGGGAGCUCACCUAAAACCUGAGACGAGGGAAAAAAUUUGGAAGAAGGAAUACAUUGACAUCUUCACAUUACUUCCCCUUGAAAGAUUUAACAUAGAAAAAUGGGAAAAAGGGAAAGAGCACCGUAAGGAGGAGGAUGAGGAUAGGAGGAGAUACAGGCUGAUCCCCAGAACAUUUGGGAAUUGGCUGCAGGCAUUUGCUAUUCUGGGUAGCGUUAUAGGGGAAAAGUCACCUGAGAGUUGUUCGGGUCUGUUUUGUUACCUGGACACGAUUUGGGAAGCGCAUAGGGUCUACGGGGGAACCGCAUGGCUUAAAUAUGACGAGCAGUUUCGUCAGCGCAUGUCGGUGUGGCAGUCCUUAAAGUGGGACCACAGGGACAUAGCCCUGUGGCUGAGGCUGAUGACGGCUCAGAAAGCCCAGCAUACUCCAGCUUUUUCUAGUCUAGGUCAGAAUCCCUUUCCAGCAGGCGCCGGCGGGCCCACCAGUGCGGGAUCGCCGGCUACCCCGAAAAAGGGAGUGUGCUGGCAAUAUAAUGAAAGUCAGUGCAAAUGGGGGGGGAAUUGCAAGUUCAAGCAUGAAUGCUCCGGUUGUGGGGGGGCCAAUCACCCUGUCACUAGAUGUUAUAAAAGACAAAGGCCAGGAGGCGCAAAGCCAGGAGAGGGUUUUGGAAAAAGGGAGGAGUCCAGUCAGGGUAAAUGAGAUGUCACCCUGGCUGGCAAUAUACCCUGAUAGAAAGAAGGCCGAGUUAAUCAGGGAGGGGUUUUUGGUUGGGUUUUGUAUUCCAUUUCAGAGUGGGGCGGGGGGGCAAGAUUGCAGGAAUUUGAGAUCAGCUUCGGAGCACCCGGAGGUAAUUAGGAAAAAAUUGGCUACAGAGGUAGAAUUGGGCAGAAUGGCCGGACCAUUUAUGGUUCCACCCGUGCCAAACCUGCGCCUGUCACCGCUAGGCGUGGUGCCCAAAAAGGAGGCAGGCAAAUUUCGCCUGAUACAUCAUCUGUCUCAUCCACAUGGCUCCUCAGUCAACGAUGGGAUAGAUGAGGAGACGGCUCAUGUAACAUACACCUCCUUUGAUGUGGCAGUGCGCCUGGUGAGGACCUGCGGCCGGGGUGCCCUUAUGGCGAAGGUCGACAUCGAGUCGGCCUUUCGUCUCUUGCCAGUACACCCAGAUUGCCAGCAUUUGCUAGGGUGUAAAUUUGAGGGCAAGAUUUAUAUGGAUAGAUGUGUACCAAUGGGCUGCUCUAUUUCGUGUGCCCAUUUCGAAGCUUUCAGCUCCUUUUUGGAGUGGGUGGUGAGGUUAGAAACUGGAUCCAGGGCAGUCAUUCACUACCUGGACGAUUUUCUAUGUGUUGGCAAGCCGGGGACGGAGGAGUGUAGGAUUAUACUUCAGGUCCUACUAUCAGUGUUUCGCAGGUUUGGAGUUCCCGUGGCUAUGGAAAAAACAGAAGGCCCCUCACGCAUCCUCAAAUUCCUGGGGAUUGAGAUUGAUUCAGACAAAAUGCAGUGCAGACUACCCCAAGAAAAGAUUGUAGAUUUAAAGCUAGUGCUAAAUUUCGCAUUACAGCAAAAGAAGGUGACACUUAGGCAACUGCAAUCACUCCUGGGGAAAUUAAAUUUCGCUUGCCGCAUAAUGCCCAUGGGGAGGGUUUUUUGCCGGAGGCUAGCCCAAGCUACAGCAGGGGUGGAGAAGCCGCACCACUUUGUGCGGCUGAAUAAACAACACAAGGCAGACCUGGUAGUGUGGCAGAGGUUUCUGGAUAAGUACAAUGGAUGUUCAUUUUGGCUAGGGGACAGUCAGGACAACGGGGAGUUGGAAUUGUUUACAGACGCAGCCGGUGCGUUCGGUUUUGGUGCCUUCUUUCAAGGACAAUGGUGCAUGGGGGAGUGGCCACGGGAGUGGCAGGAAGGGCAGCUUAUAAAGAACUUAGCGUGCCUGGAGCUAUUCCCAAUCGUGUUGGCAGUAGUGGUGUGGGGGAAGGAGCUGGCUAAUAAAGCGGUCAAUUUCCACUCGGACAACAUGUCAGUGGUUUCGGCUAUUAACAAUUUAUCUGCCUCCUCCCCACCAGUGGUCAACCUGUUAAGGGUGUUGGUACUCAAAUGUCUAGAUCAGAAUAUUUGGUUCAGGGCCACACAUGUGCCAGGAGUUACGAAUGAUAUAGCCGAUGCUAUCUCUCGUUUUCAGCUGGAACGGUUCAGGCAGUUGGCUCCGAGGGCAGCCGAGGCCCCCACCCCUUUCCCAGACUUCCUAUGGAGGAUCCCGUUCGAUACCUGGCAGGUUCAAGGCGAUGUAUGGUGUGGGUAAUGGGACAUUCCUACAUUUUUUGGGCGGAACAACGUGCAGGGUUACGUGAAAAGGGUAGGCGGUUCUGGCUCCCAGCGGAUGCAGUGGAAGUGCAAUGGCAUGGGAAAAGAGGUUUGUCAUGGUUGCAGAUCAGGGCCUGGAUAGAGGACAAGUUCCGUCAAGAGGGCCCCCCAGAUGUUUUAGUGUUACACGCAGGGGGCAACGAUGUGGGCAAGAUCCCAAUGAGGGACCUCAUUGGGAGGAUGAAGCAGGAUUUGGUAAGAAUCCGGGCUAUGGCCCCUAGACUAGUGGUGAUAUGGUCCCAGAUAGUCCCCAGGUUGGUGUGGAGGGGGGCUAGAGACCUAAAAGCGGUGCAGAGGACAAGGGCAAAAAUUAAUGCAGCUAUGACGAAGUUUGUGCAUAAGGCGGGAGGAAUAGUAGUUAGGCAUGUAAUGUUGGAAAGAGACCCCAAGUAUUACAGACCUGACGGGGUACACUUGAACGGCCUGGGCCUCGAGGUUUUUAACUAUGGCCUUAGAGAAGGGGUGGAGGUGGCCAUUCAGGUGUGGAGGGGUAUGAGGGAUUGAAGGUGUGCAAGUCCCUCAUACUGUGGCGGGUCCCUGGCAAUGGGGAGAGUUAAUUAAGUGGAGUUUUACCAAGUUGGUUAAUAGAACUUGGUUGGUGGUGUUCCUCUCUAAGAGCGGUGGUCUCUGGGAGGGUAUGUUGUAUUGGGGGUAGCAUGCAGUCCUGCGUACCCAUCAUGCUAGAAGGCACAAGCGGCUGGUGGUUUAACGAUUGCAUGUACCUAAUUGGGUCCAUUGCCAGGGGCCUUGCAGAGGAUAAAAUGUUAAUGGUAUUUCACUGUCAUAUUUGUAUGUUUAUAAUGUUGUUAAUAUAACAGUUAUUGAUAUAUGUGUUAUCUAUUGUUAAAUGAUCUGUUGUGCAAUAAAGCUGUGGACAUAAAGACUCCAACAAAUAAA